GAUGAACGCUGGCGGCGUGCCUAAUACAUGCCAGUCGAGCGAACAGACGAGGAGCUUGCUCCUCUGACGUUAGCGGCGGACGGGUGAGUAACACGUGGAUAACCUACCUAUAAGACUGGGAUAACUUCGGGAAACCGGAGCUAAUACCGGAUAAUAUAUUGAACCGCAUGGUUCAAUAGUGAAAGACGGUUUUGCUGUCACUUAUAGAUGGAUCCGCGCCGCAUUAGCUAGUUGGUAAGGUAACGGCUUACCAAGGCAACGAUGCGUAGCCGACCUGAGAGGGUGAUCGGCCACACUGGAACUGAGACACGGUCCAGACUCCUACGGGAGGCAGCAGUAGGGAAUCUUCCGCAAUGGGCGAAAGCCUGACGGAGCAACGCCGCGUGAGUGAUGAAGGUCUUCGGAUCGUAAAACUCUGUUAUUAGGGAAGAACAAAUGUGUAAGUAACUAUGCACGUCUUGACGGUACCUAAUCAGAAAGCCACGGCUAACUACGUG
This 497-nucleotide ribosomal RNA is filed under the name uncultured bacterium. Its description in RNAcentral is "partial 16S ribosomal RNA". It matches the Rfam family "Bacterial small subunit ribosomal RNA", at positions 28 to 507 of the family's 1533-position model. The record is from RNAcentral.